GCUGGGUGUGGUGGUACAUGCCUGUAAUCCCAGCUAGUCAGGAGGCUGAGGCAGGAGGAUCAUGAGUUCAAAGCCAGCCUCAGCAACUUACUGAGGACCUAAGCAACUCAUUGAGACCCUGUCUCUA
Molecule: small RNA, 127 nt
Filed under: Marmota monax (woodchuck)
Lineage: Eukaryota; Metazoa; Chordata; Mammalia; Rodentia; Sciuridae
Source: RNAcentral